Molecule: long non-coding RNA, 350 nt
Organism: Biomphalaria glabrata
Lineage: Eukaryota; Metazoa; Mollusca; Gastropoda; Planorbidae
Exons: 3
Source: RefSeq, a predicted model, not a curated record
GAGAUGCAAACGCUUCAGAAUAUAUAUUUUGCUAUUAUGGCCUUUCACUUUAUUGUCAGUUGGAUUAGUAAUACAGAUGGAUCAGAAUUUCGACCUUGCUCAAAACUAAUACUAGACAACUGCUCCUUGGUUCUAGAAGAAGGACAAAAUGUUUCUUGUCAUUGUAAACUGGUUUCAAACACACACGUAGAAUCAACGAUUCAUUGGUCAAGUAAAUCGUUCAAAUCUUUUAAUUCUACACUCUCUUUACUUGCUCGAAGACCACUGUCAGAUGAGUUCCUAUGUACUGCUACAAUCAAUAUAACAUCUGAGACAUUUACAGCAGCAUAUAAACCCUUUGUCAUCGGUAA